GUCGACUGCCACUCUGGCUCCACCUAACAGCCCAGGUGGGGUGCGGUCAUGGACUCUGGGAUUGGGUGGGGGCUUCACCCUGGUUUUAGGCACCCAUCCUGGUGGGACCUCUCAACGGGUCCACAAUGGGUUACUUCCUUAUGUCCCCAUUAGGGAAGGACAUAUCCAUUCACCCAAUGGCCCAACACAUAUCUUUGGGCUACCUCUUGCUUCCUUCUUUCUCACCUGGACAGCCAUGUGGGGUUCCUCCCUGGUCCGCAUGUCUCCAGUCCUGCCCACUCCAGUCCAUUCCCGACACUCCUCAGAGAGGAGACCUGAUGGCAUCUCCCUGCCUGGGUCUACUGCUUGAAAACUAAAGGGAAGGUUGCAGCCCAGUCCUUGUGGAGAGGGGCUCACACGGUUCUUUAUCCAAUAUAGCUCUGUUUUCUGAGUAUAAAUGUAAUAAAUAAGGAACACAGGGAAGUACAGAAAAAUAGAAAGAGGAGGACUUCUCAUUUGGGCCCUGUGCAUUCAGAUAUGGCCACAUGACUUACUUUGGUGGAGGAGCUGUCAGUGGAGGUGAUGUGUGUCACUUCAGGCAGAAGCUUCCAGAACCAGUGCCUGAUUUUCCAUGCUCUUUUUUCCCCACUCUAAGAGUAUGUACGUGUGUAAUGUAGGCAAGACCUCUCGCUGGCAAAACCACCUGGAUGGAGGGUCCUCAGGCCACAUCCCCUGAUUAGCCUCCUGCCUCGGCCAGUUGGCUCUGAACAAAACAUAAUCUCGUUCCCGUGCAGACGCCAAUCCUGACCCAGCACAAGAGAAUGUGGAUGGCUCCAUUCAUGCCACUUCUCCUUCUGGCACAAUAACUCAUUCAUUGAGAAAAGUUCUGUUCUGUUACCGAGGAUCUUCCCAGCUGUCGAGGACACUGAGGUGGGCAAGACAGGCAAGGUCAGGUCCCACAUUAUGGAACUUACCUUCUAGGGGGACACGGACACACAGGUAAGUAAAAUAAUGCAUUAACUGCAGAUGGUGCUAAGAGCUUUGAGGAAGAAAACCAGGCAAUGGGUGUGUAGGGGCAACAGGAGAACAGAAAGGGUGGCCUGGGAGGUGAGGAGGUGACCUGAGCUGAGAAUGGAGGCAAGGAGCCAGCCACGUAAGGAGACUGGGAAGAGGCCCUGGGACACACUUGGCAUCCACGUGGAACAGACAGGGUCCGGUGUGUUGCUGGAGAGUCAUGAGUAAGGGCCUGGUGGAGGGUGGGGAACGAGAUUGGGCGGAGGCAGCCAGGGCAGAUGGUGGGGGCCAUGUGCGCAGUGGGACUUGACUCUGAGUCUUGUUGGGGAGUUCUCAGAGGGCUUAUAACGCCAGCGUGACCUGCUCUGACUUCCCUGUUUUACAGCUUGCUUUGGCUAUUGGUAGGCCACUCAACUGUAGGACAGCGAGAAAGAAGGGGAGAGAGAGACUGGUGACUUUGACGAGGCACUUGGAAAAUACUCCGGACAUAGAGCUGAUGAGAUUUGGAAACGAACUGCAUGCCGGAGGUGGGAGCCUUUCCACUCUGCGCUCCUUGGAGAAAGCCAUUUGGAAGGUGACUCCAACCAUAGAGACAGCUGUGCUUUAGAGGCUGGAGCAGAGUGUGUGUGUGCAUGAAGGAGCUGGGGAUGUUUGUAGCUUGCAAAAGUAAUCCAGGAGAAGACGUCAAACUUGCUGUUGAGGUUGUCACUGAAUAGCUUGAAAUUUCUCAGAAGACUAAAGGAAGGUGUGGGCUUUAUGUUUGUCAAAAUGGGAUGUAGGUGAAAAAGAUUGAAAAACAUAACAGGAAAAUCUCAUUUGCGGAUAUUAUGGGUUGAAUUGUGUCCCCUCAAAACAAGACACGGUGAAGUCCUAACCCCCAUUCCCUCAGAAUGUGACCUUAUUUGGAAAUAACGUCAUUGCAGAUGUAGUUGGUUAUUGUUAAGAUGAAGUCGUGCUGGAAUAGGGUGGGCCGCUAAUUCAUCGUGACUGGUGUCCUAAUAAGAAGACGGCCAAGUGAAGAGAGAGACACAGAGGGAACCUUGAGAAGGCGGAGGAUUGGAGAGGUGCAUCUGUAAGCCAAGGAAGGCCAAAGAUUGGCGGCAAACCACCAGAAGCUGGGAAGAGCCUUCUGUCACUGCUUCUGAAUUUGGAAGAGGUAAAUAGAGACUCUGGAUCGGUAAGAGUCAUCCUUUUCAAGGCGGCUAUGGCCACGUGGAGGAUCUAAUGGCUCAGCAGCCAGUGCUGGCGGUGUUAAGACGAGCGUGCAGGGAUGAUUAGGUGGUCCUGCUGGCUGCUGAAAAGACAUUUGGGCUUGACCUCCCACUCCCCCAUUUCUUGCUCAGACAUGUUUUCCAGGCUUCCCAUGAUUCUGUGAGCUACUAGCCCUUCUCUACUCGACUGGAGCCCAUUUCAACUCUUCGGAGCAUAGGGCCCUGACCAGUGCUUGACAACCUGUAAGUUUCCUUUGAGUUUUAAAGGAUGACCACUCUCUAUGCUUUUUAUCUUUAAUUACCAAUUACCAUUUAACCCAGAACCCACAGAGUGCCAAUUCUAAUCAGGGGGCCAUGCUCAGAGGAAGGCUACAGGUUGAUUCUCCCCAGGGUGGGAGGCUCACAGAAUGGGCAAAGGACCAGCUUUCUGACAUCAACAAGUAAGCCUUUGGGGCCACAGUCACGUGGGCUAAAGGGACUCCAGAGAUCAUCUCAUCCAAUCCCUUCCUUGCGUGUCAGGAAAAAUCAUGAAAGACUGAAAUGAGCAAAAGACAAUUACUGUGUCUUGUCUAGCGCGCCUUUUACAGCUCUGUAAAUUGUAGGAAACUGAUAAUGAAGCCGGGUACCUGAGGGUCACUGUAGCUAUUCAAUAAGAACAUGAGUGCCUUUUGACUUCUUCCCAACACAGACAUAAAUGAAUCUUGUCCAUUUGCUGUUUUCUUGUUUAAGUUGAGGGGCGACUCAGGGGUCGAAAAUUUGUGAGCUUGUUUUGCAGAAGAAUGAGAAGGCCUUUGGGGAGGUUGUGAUCACGGGAUGGCCAGCCCCCUGCAGCUGUUGACACCCAGAAGUCAGAUUGCUCAGGGGCUCACCAGGAGUGACCCCUUUGUUUCCCCAAAGCUCCUCCUGCCAAUCCGCUUAGCUCUAUAAAAACCCUCCUGCCUUCUUCUCUUAUUAAGGCAGAUUUGAGAGGUUCAGUACCAAUAAUAAUGCAAAUGAUUUUCUUGUCCCCAAAAAAGCAAAUUAAUUGUGUACAGUGGAAUGCAACUCAUUAUUG
This 3258-nucleotide long non-coding RNA is filed under the name Equus caballus (horse). RNAcentral describes it as "lncRNA (ENSECAG00000054656.1)". The record is from RNAcentral. Lineage: Eukaryota; Metazoa; Chordata; Mammalia; Perissodactyla; Equidae.